UCCAUCUCCAACUCCUCCAAAAUCUGUCAAUGAUGCCUGAUGAGAUCUGCAACUUAUAGCUGGAUACUCAAACCAAUCCAAUUUGGGAUAUUUUCUGCCAUCAACUCCACUAGUACAAAGAAAUAGCAAAAGGCCAAUUGCUAAGACAGCAUUCAUCACCAUCACCUGAAAUCUUCUGGGAAUUGUCCACAACUCCAUUGCACAAAACACAGUUAUUG
Molecule: unclassified non-coding RNA, 218 nt
Filed under: Hevea brasiliensis (rubber tree)
Lineage: Eukaryota; Viridiplantae; Streptophyta; Magnoliopsida; Malpighiales; Euphorbiaceae
Source: RNAcentral